CAUGUGGGUAAUUCACUAAUUUUGUGAGAAACACAAUAAAAAUUACUAUUUACUUGUCUCUUAAAUAUUUAAAUCAUAAAGAUUUGUUUAUUCAUCUAAUCUCUUGUUUACUUAAGUAAUCUCUAAAUAUUACUAAAACAAAACCUUAAAUUCUUCAAUGAAGAAACAACAACCCUUGAUUGCAUUUCCCUCCUUCAGUCUCCACCAUAGGAUAUUUUGCUGACAUCAUCCUAACCCAAAAAAAUACACGCGCCUCCUGAAUAAAACGUCCUUCUUAUGAUUCAUUCCUAAUUUCAUUCUUAUGUUUUCUCUCUACACAAUCAACACAAUCAGCUCCCCAUGAAACUCAAUAGAUAUGAACCAUAACCCCUUCCUUCUGCCGAUAUGCAUAACCUCAUUGAUUUCAUGUAUACAUGGAAUCGAUCCUAUGCGUUCUACUUCUGCUGAUAUGGAAUCGAUCCUAUGCGUAACCCCAGGAAUUCCUGAGGGGCACCGCGUCGACCAUCAACGAUUUUCAAUCCUGUGUGUUCUACUUCAGAUGCAGAUGAAAUAUGUUGAAGCUCGAUUAGGAGAUCGAGUUCUUUAUGCAGAUAAGAUUAGGAGAUCACGUACUUCAUGGCGCCAGGAGAAAACCCGUUUCUACUUUUGUCACUACAUGCCGGAAAAAUUAGGAUACGCUACCCUUUUUCCGCCCUUUGUUCCCGAUUCCCCAUCAACUCUCCACCCAAAUUCACCGGAAGUUUUGCCCUGUUAGCCUCCAAUGCUCAGCGCCGCCGCCACCUCCGUCGCUACAUCGUCUAUUCCGGCUUCCAUACUCUGCUGUACAGCUCAAUCCACCUCAACAAGAACGAUUAAACGCCCCCACAACAAUUGCCGUGUUGUUGCUGGAAACUUUGGGCAUUUCGUACAAGUUGUAAAGAAAGAUGUCGAUUUUCUCAAGAAGAAUAUCGAUACAGGCAUCAAAUGGACGAGCGAAGCUCUUGGUUUACCGGAGAUUUCGAAAAAGGUAGAUGAGUUUGUUUGGUUACGGAACCUCGAAGAUCCCCACUAUUCUGGUGAAUUUUAGUCUCCUUCUUGGCCUCAGCCUUUUUAUCCAGAACUCUCUACCACAAAUCUCAUCAUGGCUGACCUUAAAGCCAUGGAAAAAUACAUAAUCUAUUAUUACCAUCUCUCUAAAAUGUGGACAAAACCACUUCCAGAAGCUUACAAUGCACAGGAAGCUGAUGACUAUUUCAAAUGCAGACCUCAUAUAGUAGCCCUUCGACUCAUUGAAGUUUUUGGCUCCUUUGCUUCAGCUGCAAUCAGAAUCAGGAUAUCAGGAAUUAUAAAGUCAAAAACAUCAAAUGCAGACUCUGAAACCAAAGAAUACAAUUCACAACACAAAUUCGGCAUGGUGUUAAAAGAAACAAUGUUAAACUUAGGUCCCACUUUUAUCAAAGUUGGUCAAUCCCUUUCCACAAGGCCAAAUAUCAUUGGCUUUCAAAUAACAAAGGCUUUAAGUGAGCUCCAUGAUCAAAUCCCUCCAUUUCCCCGAACUUUAGCCAUGAAAAUCAUAGAGGAAGAGCUAGGAUCCCCAGUGGACACCUUCUUCAGUUACAUCUCUGAGGAAGCAAUAGAUGCAACAUCAUUUCGUCAAGUCUACAGAGCAACUACAGUAGAUGGAGUUGAUGUUGCUGUGAAAAUACAACGCCCUAAUUUGAAACACGUGUUUCAUGAUGUUUAUAUUAUGAGAGUUGGGUUCCUGGAUAUUUUGCAACAAGUGACUAACAUAAAAAGUGAUUUACGCCUUUAUGCUGAUGAGUUAGGAAAAGGAUUAGUAGGGGAAUUGGACUACACUUUAGAAGCUGCAAAUGCUAAAGAAUUCAUGGAAGCUCAUUCACCAUUUUCGUAUAUUCGUGUUCCAAAAGUGUUUGACCAUUUGACUAAAAAGAGGGUGUUGACUAUGGAGUGGAUGAGUGGUGAAAAUCCAAAAGAAUUACUAUCAAUGUGUAACACCAAUUUUGAACAAGAAUUGCAAUAUUCAGAGAAACAGAGGAUUGAUGCUAAAAGACAUCUUUUUGAUUUGGUUAACAAAGGAGUUGAAGCAUGUUUAGUUCAACUCCUUGAAACUGGAUUAUUACAUGCGGAUCCACACCUUGGAAAUAUGCUCUAUUUACCAUCUGGACAAAUAGGGUUUCUUGAUUUUGGAUUAAUCUGUCGAAUGGAAAAGAAGCAUAAGUUUGCAAUGCUUGGAGCGAUUAUUCACAUAGUAAAUGCUGACUGGGCAUCCCUUGUGGGGUCCCUUGCUGACAUGGACAUUGUAAGGCCAGGAACCAAUGUUUCACGAAUUACCAUGGAUCAUUUUGAUGGAGAUGAAAUGAAUGUUCAUUUACCACAAGAUGAGGGUCAUGACUAUGCAAUGGUGGAGCAGGUUGGAAUCUCUAACCACAAAAGGGAGAUGAACUUUGUAAUUGGUGUUUCAAAAAUAGGGAAUACUUUUUCUUUAUCUUUUAUGCAGUGGGAACCAUGUCAUGCAGUUGUUGCCACACCUUUGCUUAUUGCAUUUGAACUGCUUCUUUGCAUCUAUCUUGAAAAUAGCCAUGUUACUAAGCCUCCACCUUUAAGCCUGCAGAGUGUCUUCCUUCCUCUGUUGGCAUUUGAAGUAACCAUUCUGACAGAUUUUUUCCAUCUUUCCUUCACUACAGGUGCUUCACUUGCUGUUGUUGUGGAUGCUGUCAGAAAAGGUGCAGCUGCAUAA
This is a non-coding RNA of Lactuca sativa (garden lettuce), 2737 nucleotides long. Lineage: Eukaryota; Viridiplantae; Streptophyta; Magnoliopsida; Asterales; Asteraceae. The record is from RefSeq and is a predicted model, not a curated record.